RNAcentral lists this ribosomal RNA (256 nucleotides) under uncultured bacterium. RNAcentral's name for it is "partial 16S ribosomal RNA". It matches the Rfam family "Bacterial small subunit ribosomal RNA", at positions 521 to 776 of the family's 1533-position model. The record is from RNAcentral.
UAAUACGGAGGGUGCAAGCGUUAUCCGGAUUCACUGGGUUUAAAGGGUGCGUAGGCGGGUAUGUAAGUCAGUGGUGAAAUCUCGAAGCUUAACUUCGAAACUGCCAUUGAUACUAUAUAUCUUGAAUAUUGUGGAGGUUUGCGGAAUAUGUCAUGUAGCGGUGAAAUGCUUAGAUAUGACAUAGAACACCUAUUGCGAAGGCAGCAGGCUACACAUAUAUUGACGCUGAGGCACGAAAGCGUGGGGAUCAAACAGG